This 773-nucleotide ribosomal RNA is filed under the name uncultured Neocallimastigales. Its description in RNAcentral is "partial large subunit ribosomal RNA". It matches the Rfam family "Eukaryotic large subunit ribosomal RNA", at positions 22 to 639 of the family's 3401-position model. Lineage: Eukaryota; Fungi; Neocallimastigomycota; Neocallimastigomycetes; Neocallimastigales. The record is from RNAcentral.
UACACGCUGUGACUAGCAUAUCAAUAAGCGGAGGAAAAGAAACUAACAAGGAUUCCCCUAGUAACGGCGAGUGAAGCGGGAAGAGCUCAAAUUUGAAAUCUUAAAGGGUUUCCCUUUACGAAUUGUAGUUUAAAGAAGUGUUUUCUGUUGAGGUUUUGGUAAAAGUUCUUUGGAAUAGGACAUCAUAGAGGGUGAGAAUCCCGUAUUUGACCUUUACUUUCAACUUUGUGAUACACUUUCAAAGAGUCGGAUUGUUUGGGAAUGCAGUCCAAAAUGGGUGGUAAAUUUCAUCUAAAGCUAAAUAUUGGCGAGAGACCGAUAGCGAACAAGUACCGUGAGGGAAAGAUGAAAAGAACUUUGAAAAGAGAGUUAAACAGUACGUGAAAUUGUCAAAAGGGAAGCGUUUGACACCAGUGUUGUUUUUCUGAAAAUCAAUUAAAGAACUGUUUAUGCUAAGUUGUUUAGACUUUAUCAGCUAACUGUUUAGUUUUGAGCUUUUCUUUAAUGCACUUUUCAGUUAACAAGUCAACAUCAAUUUCUUUUGCUGUAAAAAAGCUUGAGGAAGGUGGCUUGAGAUUCGUCUUAAGUGUUUAUAGCCUCUUGCCUAUGCAGUCGGAGAGAUUGAGGUCUGCAGCGUAGAUCCUUCGGGGCUAAAUGCAUUUGUGCUAAGUUAUAGCAUUUUAUAGACAACUUGUUGACUAUGAUUUGUCUUGUAGCUUACUCGCUUAUGUUAUUUUACCUACGCUUAGGAUGUUGACGCGCGUGUGUGCGUG